GCUCCAAGCAGGAACACCUGGGACAAAGCGCCCCAUGGGGAACCUCUCAGAUAAGCUACUUGAUUUCUUAAUCCUUCUGUCCUUCGGUCAAAUCAGCUGGAAAGCAGGAAUAGGGAAAGGGGUGGGAAAAACCUCCUGAGGAAUCAGAGGCUGAGUCUGAGCCAGAUGCAACUUCUAUUUUGAUUGAGAGAUGAAAAGUCAUCAUUUUAAUUCAGGUCAAAUAAGCAUUCCUGAAAGAAGCCAAGAGGAAGGCACAUUUUCAACAUGACAUAAAAAAAGGGCUGAUAUAACAAAGAAAUUAAAGAAUAUCAAAGCCAACACAGUAAAAAGUGGAACCAGAUUAGCAGAAAGAACGUUUCCUCGGUCAUGAGGGAAUUUAAUUCUUAUCACCUGCUGUGGAAGAUUGGCAACAGCAUUCCUGACCUAAAGAAUAAACUUCUAAUUG
This 445-nucleotide long non-coding RNA is filed under the name Homo sapiens (human). Its description in RNAcentral is "HSALNT0378140". The record is from RNAcentral. Lineage: Eukaryota; Metazoa; Chordata; Mammalia; Primates; Hominidae.